UCCAGUGCAUAUGGCAACCCUAUCGUAGACAUUAUCUCAGUCGAUUGGAGUUGAGAUUUCCCAUACCAUAAGGGGUUAGGAAGUAUUUGUUCACCCUCAUACUAGACGUUAUAUUGAGGCGGUAGUACAUUUGACACUCAUUAUCAGACGGAGUGUGGGGACGAUCGGUUAUUUAAUAUAUUGUAUAUUAGGUUCACGUGUAGAGGGAACCCCUAUGGACCCCUAAAGAUACCGGUAAGUAAGUAAAAAUGUAAAGUUUGAUUAUUAUUGUUUCUUAGAAUGUCUAAUGAAUUGUUAUCUUGAUUCUUGUUUUCACAUGUCGUAUCUAAGAACCUAAAAUGUGAGUAUGAAACUACGUUUUUAAAAU
RNAcentral lists this long non-coding RNA (367 nucleotides) under Carica papaya (papaya). RNAcentral describes it as "long non-coding RNA (CPAP_LNC015639)". Lineage: Eukaryota; Viridiplantae; Streptophyta; Magnoliopsida; Brassicales; Caricaceae. The record is from RNAcentral.